This 301-nucleotide ribosomal RNA is filed under the name uncultured bacterium. RNAcentral's name for it is "partial 16S ribosomal RNA". It matches the Rfam family "Bacterial small subunit ribosomal RNA", at positions 509 to 807 of the family's 1533-position model. The record is from RNAcentral.
CAGUAGCCGCGGGAAUACAGAGGAUGCAAGCGUUAUCCGGAAUGAUUGGGCGUAAGGGGCUCGCAGGCGGUUUCUUAAGUCUGAUGUGAAAGCCCCCGGCUCAACCGGGGAGGGUCAUUGGAAACUGGGAAACUUGAGUGCAGAAGAGGAGAGUGGAAUUCCACGUGUAGCGGUGAAAUGCGUAGAGAUGUGGAGGAACACCAGUGGCGAAGGCGACUCUCUGGUCUGUAACUGACGCUGAGGAGCGAAAGCGUGGGGAGCGAACAGGAUUAGAUACCCCGGUAGUCCCUGUCUCUUAUAC